GAAGCACUCCGAAGCAAGCUCUGCAACAGCAGCCACUUUAUCUAUAUAAAUAUCUUUGUUUUUGUAGUUCUCCAUGCGUACUAGUUUUUGCUUGUAGUUGCUUCAAACUGUGUACGAUCUCUCUCACCAAACUUUUCUCAUUUCAUGCUUGCUCUUCUGGUCUUUCUUUGCAGAAGCAGCUGCAUCUGCUGCUGGUGACUGUGUGAUUUGCCCCACCAUUUUUAAUGCAAUGCAGGGUUGGUCUACUGGUACCUGUAGCCCCGCCAUUAUAAAGAAGAUGAAAAAAAACAACUAUGCGUACACUCUGAAGUUUGAAUUGGAAAUAUGAAUCACCUCUUUAAGAUAAAGUAAGAUUAUCUAUGUCUGUACUAUUCCUCUCAAGGUUUGUCAGUGUACUGUUUUUCUUUUCUUUUUUUGCACACAGUGGUUACCACCAAUCUAUCUAAUGCUGCUGACAUCAUGAUUAGUACUUUCACCACUAAUGCAUACCUGGGAUAAGAGUUUUUUUUUUUUCUUAUUUUAACAUAGAUAAAAAAAAGACACAUUUAAAAAAAUAAUUAAUAAAUUAACACACUUAAAUGAACUUAAAGGGGUCAAAAAAUGGAGUUUUUCCGUUGUGUUUUGCUAUUAUGAAAGAAGAGACGAACAAUAAUUGAAGUUGAUUUUUGGAUUUGCUUCACCGAUAUAUGAUUGAGGGACCAACUAGGUUGUGUAUUAUAUCAGAUAGACAUAUGACGAUAAAGAUUUCCAUGGAACGUAUUUUUUCGAAACCUAUUAACAAUCAUCGAUAUUGUUCAUGACACUUUGUGAAUAAUUUAAACACAAAGUAAAAAAAUAUUUUCUUGAAAAAUACGUUGCAUAAGAUGUGUGCACACCCUUCUAAACAGGAGUUUGACAUUUUAUAUGAGAAGUUGCUAGAGACAAAUGAUGCAAUUAGAGCAUGACUAGAUGCUGAACCUAAAGAAAAGUGGGCAUUAUUUUAUGAUUAUGAUGGUCGUUGUUAUGACAAGACCACAAACUUGUUGGAGGUUUUUAAUAAUGUUUUAAAAACUAUUCGUGGCUUGCCUGUUUCAGCUAUAAUAUAAAUUUUUUUAGGUGUAAUAAAUGUUUUGUGGAGUGUAGAGAAAAAAAUGAAGAAUUUUUAAGUCGUGAUGUGUUGUGGUCUUCAAAGGUCCUAGCUAAGAUACUGAUGCGAAAACUUCAAGAUCACACCUGAUAUCUCUUUUCUUUUUAUCUUAAAGGUGAUAUAUUUCAAUCUGAGACAUCUUUAAUAGCUAGUGUUACAAGAAAAGUGUGAGACCAUGCUCACAUUAACAUCAAUCAAGCAACUUAUUCUUGUGGCAAAUGAUAAUUGUAUCAUCGACCAUGCUCACAUAUAAUUUCAUGUUGCACUUCAUUAAAUAUGAACUAUGUAUAAUUUGUAGAUGAAUUCUAUUCCAACUUGUCAUAUAAAAAUGCAAAUAGUCCACAUUUUCGACUUUUGUAUGAUACGUCAUUGUAGCUUGCAUAUACUUAUUCUUGGGUCAAGGGAAAUCCACUCGUUUACAUAAUGAGAUGGAUGCUAGAGAGGGACAUUCAUUGAAUAGAUAUUAUAUAUGCAGUCAAAGGGGUUAUAAUAGAAAAACUUAUGAAACUAGAUAAUGUAUGUUAUUUUUUUAUUUUUUUAAAUUAUGUCAACUUUAAUUUAAUUGCAAAUGCUAACAAUUUUUUUAUACAGGACCUUGAGAUAGACAUGGUUUGGACUAAAGGAGGUUCAACCUCUUUUAGAAAUGUCAACAGGCAAGGCCACCCUUGUUACUGAUGAAGGUUCUGAUGAUAGGUUGCUGUUAUUUAUGCAGGAUCAACAUCAUUCCAAUGAUAUAUGGAGCGAUGAGGUCAUAUAAAUAUUCUAAAGAUUUAUUUUGAUGAUUUAACUAAGUUGUUUGAUAUUUAGGGCGGUGAUCCAGUGACACCUAGACAACAUAUCUUGAUGGAGUUGCAUGAACGUGUGCAUUCGUAUGUUAUUGAGGUUGGUGUUUAUGAGAUCAGUUAGUUGCGUCGCAUAAAUCUUGACCAUGCAUUGAUUGCAGCAUUGGUGGAGUGAUAAAGGCGCGAGAUGCACGCCUUCCAUCUACGUGUUGGUGAGGUGACACCAACACUCCAGGAUGUAGCGAUGUUGAUCGGUCUUCUGAUAGCUAAGACAUCUAUGACCAACAAUAGAGUUUUGAUUGAUAUAGAUUUGUUAUGUGAUUGUCUAUGAGGACAAGUGCCUCCAGCCAAUACUUAUAGGGGCGACUGCAUCAGGUUGACAUGGUUGGGCGCUAAUUUUAAUACCCCUUAGUAGACGUGACAACAAACCAGCUUAUUAUGUAUGCUCGGGCAUACAUAUUACACAUGUUUAGAGGAUUUAUUUUCACGAGUACUAUUGGAAAUGCAGUUUCAUUGUACUUUCUGAUGGUUCUUGAUGAUUUUUGUGCCAUUUCAAAUUAUAGUUGGGGGGAGCCAUUCUUGCAUAUCUAUAUCAGCAACUAUGCAAAACAUGUCUAAAAAAAGAAGACAAAUUGCCUGGUGUCUUCUAUUUCUUCAGGUAUAUGUAUUUUAAAUUAUUUGAUUACUAGAAUUAAUGAAAUUUUAAAUACUAACUUGUAAUUUUCAAUGUUCAUUAACAUAAUUCUAGACAUUUUAGUAUAUUCAUAUCGGGUGUUCAAAGAGCUAGGGUAUUAACAUGAUUAACACUAUCACUUAGAGGCCACUCUCAAUUGGUUUCAGGUAAUAAUAAAAUAUAGUUGAUUAUAGUCAACAUGUUAUUUAUAUAAAUUGAAUGUAAGGAAAUAUACUAACUUUGUGGGUUGUCUUGUUAAAUGGUGUAUGGCUAGAUAUUUUACUGUAAAUCCCAAUCAUAUCCAAGAGUUUUAUCAGGAUAAGUUGGACGCACAACAAUCACAUCUGGUCUAUAUUACAAAUGUAAUUAAUUUUUUUUUUGCUAUUUUAAAGUUAAUUAUUUAGUUUCAAUUUAUUAUUUGAGAUAACUGUUUUACAUCUUUUGAUAGGUUAUAUGGAUUCCAUAUAUGAAGAACUUGAUACUUUAAGCUUUGCCUAUAUGUCGUGAGAGAUUUGACAAUUGGUUAGUACAAGUCCCUUUAAACUGCUUUGACAUUGUUGAGAUGCAUUGUCCAGAUCGGGUAAUGCGACAAUUUAGACUAUCUUAGCAUAUACUGGAUUAUGUUGAUACUAGAAAGGAGUUGCACAGUGUUAGUCGUCAGGGUAAACGCAAGGGGAAUUGAUUGGUAAUUCAUGCAUCUUACCUUGAUCUUUGGGAUGCUAUGAGAGAUCGUGUUUUUGAGGAGUGACAACUUACAAUUGACAUAGAUACCUACAUGACACAAUAUAUAUCCAUUAUACGCCGUUUCAUUACACCAACCUAGUCGUAUUUCCCGAGACAUUCAAAUAAUUCAAUGUACUAUGCCUUCGAGUAUCCGAGACAGAAUCGAUUAGUAUGCAAUAAUAUUUUACAUUUAUUAAAUACUAGAAUAAUUUUAUUAUGGAUGAUGACUACUAAUUGGUUCUUAAUGUAUGUAUAUAAAUUAAUUACUUGGUACGGGAAGCUCGGAAAAUAGUAAUGACUAUUCGUGAAGGUGUUGAUGAGAUAUGACAUAUUGUGGCCAACACCAAACUCAAUUUAUAUUGUGGCGGACUUCAAAAGGUUAGAGAGAUUAAGCGUCUUGAAACAGCACUAACGGAAGAUGAGAUUGCUUAUUGUGGAAGUGUUGGGGAUGUUGACCUGUCUAAAAACAUCCCAGGCCCAUCCAUGAGCGUCCUAGGACCAUAGUUUUAAAACCUGGCUCGGCCCGACGGGUCGACCUGGGACCCGACUGACCUGGGAUGAAACCGGGCUGGGUUUAAAAAAAAACCAGCCAAGGAUUUGGCCCAGAAAAACCCUGUCGACCCGGGUAAACCCAGAUGAGACCCGAAUGUGUUUUUUAAUAUAUAUAUAUAUAUAUAUAUAUAUAUAUAUAAGCAAAACAUCAUCGUUUCAUUGAAGAGUCGAAGACAGAAAACCGAAUCUGUCUGCUUAAGCCAACGAAGCAGCUGCAAAACCUACUAUUAACAUUCAAUCUCUUCCACACUCUUUGUGCUACCAUUCUUUUCUAAACCAUUCUUCUCUCUCAGCUCCCUUUUCUUUUCUGAUUGCUUAAGCUAACCUAUAACAAGACACUUGGAGAACCCCAUUUUUACUGGUAAACUAUUUAUAUUUUGUUUUUUUAUUGGUUGAGUCUUCCAUGUUGAUUAUUUCUUUUCUAAACCAUUCUUCUCUCUCAAAUCCCUGUUCUUUACUGACUGCUUAAGUGAACCAGUAACUAGACAUUUAGAGAACCUCUUUUUGCUGGCAGAAACGUUCAGGUAAACUUUAUAUCUUUUCUGUUUUUAUUGCUUGAUUCAUCUAAGUAAAACAACAUGCUGGUUAUUAAAUUACCAAGGUUGGUAAUUUUUGCAUAUUAUUUAAUUAAGUAUUUUCAUCUAGGAAUCAUGAUUCCUGUAUUAGUUCUUUAUUUGCAUCUCCCCAGUUUUGGGCAAACUAGUCUUUUCUGUUUUCGUUUCUGGUUUUAAAAUAUUCAUAGAGCAUGAUGGCAAUGAACUUAGAAACAAAAUUACAUUUGUCUGCAAUGAAGUCAAAGGGUGUUGUUUCCAUGAUGGCAUGGAAGACUUUCUUGUGUAUAUAUCAUGAAUGAGAAAUUUUCAAGCUGUAAUAUUUAAUGCUUUGCCUGCACCAUUCUCUUAGUAUUAGUGUAGGAUAGAAAUUAAUUUGAUUGAGAGGAGGAAGACAUACAUAUAAAAUAUAUCAUCCAAUUCUUUUUUUUUUGUUAACCCGGGUCAACCCAUCUGACCUGUGACUCGAUCAUUAUACCAAGUCGACCACUAGGUUGUGUUUAAAAACUAUACCUAGGAUUGUCCACGAGGUGGGAUGAUAUUGGUCCUCCUCAAACCUACAUGGAUAUUACAUACCCGAACUCGAGUUUUAUGAGUUGAGGAGAUUAUUAGAUAUAAUUACAAGUUAAGAUAAUUGUGAAUAAAUGUAUAGUUAGUUUAAUUUUAAUAAAAUGUUAUGUUUUCUUAAUUCUCAGUGUACAUUUGUUAUUUGCGAUUUAAUAUAUUAUGUGCUGCUUAUGUGAAUUGUGUUUUAAUGAUGAAGAACUGAUUAUUUGUGAUUUUGCAAAUUGCUAAUUUUUUUUUUGUAGGGAGUUGAUUGUAGAGUAGACUGCUCUUGGAUGCAUCUGUUAAAGGAGUCGCAUAUACCAUCUGCGAAAAUUGAGUCGCAAAUGGACAGUGGAGUCGCAUAUGACAUUUGCAACUCGCAUGUCGCAAAUGUCACCUGUGACUCUCUCAAUUGUGCUAGAUUUCUAAUUAUUUUUUCUCAUGUGUUAUUUUACAAAUUAUUUUUUUUAAAAAAAUGGGCUAACUUACCAAAACACUCCAUAGAAUACUAUCGUUACAUAUCAUGACUUUUAUUUAUUAUAGAUUACUAGAAUGAUUUUAGUUGCUUUCAUUCAUGUAAUUCAGCAAAGGAAAUAAGUUAAAUUUAACCGGAGUUAUGACUUGAAGUCUUGGAAGUAAAAGAUUGAAACCUGAGUUCUUUAAAUGCAUGUGGAAAGAUAAACUUAGAAUCAUACUUAUAAGACCUAACCCAAGAUUGACCCAGCUCGGGACUCAAGUUAUGAGUUAAGUUGCAGGUUGAUAUAUCAACUCAAAUUAUUUUUUUUUUAAACCACAUUGUUUCAGGGUUUUUUAUUUUUUAAGAAAACCAAAAUAAAAAACAACAAUGAUUUGAGUUUUUUUUUGUUGAUAAAAAACUAGAUAAAAAUAAAUUUGGCUUAAACUUGAUUUUGAGUUUAGAUCAAUAGAAAUUGGUGUACAAGAUUUUUUAACUCAAACCACUGGACAACUACACCACCAUGGUGGGUUAGCAUGACUUUUCAAGCAACAUGGAUACACUAACUCACUCCAUAAUUAGUAUGUGGUGUGCAUGAAAGUGAAAUGACAGAUGAUUGAGUCACACGUGACUUUCAGCAAGUGGGGUGGCCGAAGUUUACAAGUCAUUAUAGCCUCUCAGUGCUUUCAAUGUAGUAGUGCUAAUAAACAUCAUUCUUAACCUUCAACCUUUUGGCACGUUGUUGGUUUUAUUUAUUUAUUUAUUUGUAUUUGCGUCUAAUUUAGUGUUUCAUUCUUUUAGAUUUUCUUAAUUAUAGUAAAUUAACUAUACACAUUGUUUUGCUAAUGAAAAUAAAAUAUGAGUACAUGAAGAUUUGUAAUUUUCUAUGUUAUCUCUUAUAAUUUUUACCUUCUACAAAAUAAAAUCUCUUAAAAUGUUAAUUUUGAGGUUAACUUAUUAUCAAUAUUUCACAUUUAUGAUCACAUAAUUUUUCUUAUUUUUAAAUAGAUUUAGGUAUUAAUUUUUUAAAGUUAAAUAAUUAAGGACUUACAGUUAACAAAUCAAUUUUUUUGAGAAUUAUUGAUUAAAGUAUAUUAAUAAUGGAGGAUGCAUGGUAUAGUUUUGACUUACAAAGUGGCCUGCCCCAAGAAUCCAGAAGAAGUUCAGGUUUUUGUACGACCUGGUAAAUCCUUUUGUGAGCUGUCCUUCUGCACCGCAAAGA
RNAcentral lists this long non-coding RNA (6629 nucleotides) under Populus trichocarpa (black cottonwood). RNAcentral's name for it is "long non-coding RNA (PTRI_LNC002239)". The record is from RNAcentral. Lineage: Eukaryota; Viridiplantae; Streptophyta; Magnoliopsida; Malpighiales; Salicaceae.